AUUGAACGCUGGCGGCAGGCCUAACACAUGCAAGUCGAGCGGAUGAAGGGAGCUUGCUCCUGGAUUCAGCGGCGGACGGGUGAGUAAUGCCUAGGAAUCUGCCUGGUAGUGGGGGAUAACGUCCGGAAACGGGCGCUAAUACCGCAUACGUCCUGAGGGAGAAAGUGGGGGAUCUUCGGACCUCACGCUAUCAGAUGAGCCUAGGUCGGAUUAGCUAGUUGGUGGGGUAAAGGCCUACCAAGGCGACGAUCCGUAACUGGUCUGAGAGGAUGAUCAGUCACACUGGAACUAAGACACGGUCCAGACUCCUACGGGAGGCGGCAGUGGGGAAUAUUGGACAAUGGGCGAAAGCCUGAUCCAGCCAUGCCGCGUGUGUGAAGAAGGUCUUCGGAUUGUAAAGCACUUUAAGUUGGGAGGAAGGGCAGUAAGUUAAUACCUUGCUGUUUUGACGUUACCAACAGAAUAAGCACCGGCUAACUUCGUG
RNAcentral lists this ribosomal RNA (484 nucleotides) under uncultured bacterium. RNAcentral's name for it is "partial 16S ribosomal RNA". It matches the Rfam family "Bacterial small subunit ribosomal RNA", at positions 30 to 507 of the family's 1533-position model. The record is from RNAcentral.